CAGUCGCCACGGGAAUACGUAGGGUGCAAGCGUUAAUCGGAAUUACUGGGCGUAAAGCGUGCGCGGCGGUUAUAUAAGACAGAUGUGAAAUCCCCGGGCUCAACCUGGGAACUGCAUUUGUGACUGUAUAGCUAGAGUACGGCAGAGGGGGAUGGAAUUCCGCGUGUAGCAGUGAAAUGCGUAGAUAUGCGGAGGAACACCGAUGGCGAAGGCAAUCCCCUGGGCCUGUACUGACGCUCAUGCACGAAAGCGUGGGGAGCAAACAGGAUUAGAUACCCAGUAGUCCCUGUCUCUUAUACAC
This 301-nucleotide ribosomal RNA is filed under the name uncultured bacterium. RNAcentral describes it as "partial 16S ribosomal RNA". It matches the Rfam family "Bacterial small subunit ribosomal RNA", at positions 509 to 809 of the family's 1533-position model. The record is from RNAcentral.